UCAGGAUGAACGCUAGCGACAGGCCUAACACAUGCAAGUCGAGGGGCAGCACAAGGAGCAAUCUGAGGUGGCGACCGGCGCACGGGUGAGUAACACGUAUGCAACCUGCCUGUAAGCGGGGAAUAACCCGUUGAAAGACGGACUAAUACCGCAUAAUACUAAAUUACUGCAUGGUAAUUUAUUUAAACAUUUAUGGCUUACAGAUGGGCAUGCGCAUGAUUAGCUAGUUGGAGAGGUAACGGCUCCCCAAGGCAACGAUCAUUAGGGGUUCUGAGAGGAAGGUCCCCCACACUGGUACUGAGACACGGACCAGACUCCUACGGGAGGCAGCAGUGAGGAAUAUUGGUCAAUGGACGAGAGUCUGAACCAGCCAAGUCGCGUGCAGGAAGAAUUGUCCUAUGGAUUGUAAACUGCUUUUGCAGGGGAAUAAAGUGCAUCACGUGUGAUGUUUUGUAUGUACUCUGCGAAUAAGGAUCGGCUAACUCCGUGCCAGCCGCGGC
RNAcentral lists this ribosomal RNA (500 nucleotides) under uncultured bacterium. RNAcentral's name for it is "bacterial SSU rRNA". It matches the Rfam family "Bacterial small subunit ribosomal RNA", at positions 24 to 518 of the family's 1533-position model. The record is from RNAcentral.